Molecule: ribosomal RNA, 451 nt
Filed under: uncultured bacterium
Lineage: Bacteria
Description: bacterial SSU rRNA
Rfam family: Bacterial small subunit ribosomal RNA
Source: RNAcentral
UAUCCAGACUCCUACGGGAGGCAGCAGUCGGGAAUAUUGCACAAUGGAGGAAACUCUGAUGCAGUGACACCGCGUAUAGGAAGAAGGUUUUCGGAUUGUAAACUAUUUUAGACAGGGAAGAAAAAAGACAGUACCUGUAGAAUAAGCUCCGGCUAACUACGUGCCAGCAGCCGCGGUAAUACGUAGGGAGCAAGCGUUAUCCGGAAUUAUUGGGUGUAAAGGGAGCGUAGACGGCGAUGCAAGUCUGAAGUGAAAGGCGGGGGCCCAACCCCCGGACUGCUUUGGAAACUGUAUAGCUGGAGUGCAGGAGAGGUAAGUGGAAUUCCUAGUGUAGCGGUGAAAUGCGUAGAUAUUAGGAGGAACACCAGUGGCGAAGGCGGCUUACUGGACUGUAACUGACGUUGAGGCUCGAAAGCGUGGGGAGCAAACAGGAUUAGAUACCCUCGUAACC